This 465-nucleotide ribosomal RNA is filed under the name uncultured bacterium. RNAcentral's name for it is "partial 16S ribosomal RNA". It matches the Rfam family "Bacterial small subunit ribosomal RNA", at positions 339 to 795 of the family's 1533-position model. The record is from RNAcentral.
CUACGGGGGGCAGCAGUGGGGAAUAUUGGACGAUGGGGGAAACCCUGAUCCAGCAAUGCCGCGUGUGUGAAGAAGGCCUGCGGGUUGUAAAGCACUUUCGGUUGGGAGGACUGCUUCUAGCACUAAUAUUGUUGGAAGUUGACGUUACCUUCAGAAGAAGCACCGGCUAACUCCGUGCCAGCAGCCGCGGUAAUACGGGGGGUGCAAGCGUUAAUCGGAAUUACUGGGCGUAAAGCGCGCGUAGGCGGCUAGAUCAGUCGGGUGUGAAAGCCCCGGGCUUAACCUGGGAACUGCAUCCGAUACUGUAUAGCUUGAGUACAGGAGAGGAGAGUGGAAUUCCACAUGUAGCGGUGAAAUGCGUAGAUAUGUGGAGGAACACCAAUGGCGAAGGCAGCUCUCUGGCCUGAUACUGACGCUGAGGUGCGAAAGCGUGGGGAGCAAACAGGAUUAGAUACCCGAGUAGUC